UACGUAGGGGGCAAGCGUUGUCCGGAAUCAUUGGGCGUAAAGCGCGUGUAGGCGGUUCAGUAAGUCUGCUGUGAAAGUCCAGGGCUCAACCCUGGGAUGCCGGUGGAUACUGCUGGGCUAGAGUACGGAAGAGGCGAGUGGAAUUCCCGGUGUAGCGGUGAAAUGCGCAGAUAUCGGGAGGAACACCAAUUGCGAAGGCAGCUCGCUGGGACGUUACUGACGCUGAGACGCGAAAGCGUGGGGAGCAAACAGGG
This 254-nucleotide ribosomal RNA is filed under the name uncultured bacterium. RNAcentral's name for it is "partial 16S ribosomal RNA". It matches the Rfam family "Bacterial small subunit ribosomal RNA", at positions 524 to 777 of the family's 1533-position model. The record is from RNAcentral.